CCUCCGGCUCCCGGCUCUGCUGCCGGCCCACGCCGUUCCCAUAGCAACAACGCGCCGAAGGCGGAGGAAAGCGCGGGGCCGCGCAUGCGCACCGAGCGGAGCGCCGCUCUCCUCAGCGCGGCCGCCAUCUUAGCGCCCUCGGCCUCCCGCCGACCCGAGGCAGAGAUCGGAGCCACCAUUUCUGCAUCCUGGGGAAGAGGAGGGCGGUUUACGUCCAAACACAGCGGAGACACCUCCGCCUGCCCUGUAGCAGCUGGGGGUGCUUUCCAGCAGCCCCGUGGCUCAGCACACUGCUCCCCAGCCCGGCCCCGCAGGAAAUCCUCACACAAACAUUAGUUAUCUGCAGUGCUCUCAGCUGUUUAUUCACAUUGCAUCACACACUCCUCCCCCCAGCACAUCACAGAGCAGGAGGGCACGCCUUGUUUUAGUUGUUCGACAUCAUAUUGGCACGAUGGAAUGUAGGCUAGUCAGAGAAAGUCAGUUUUUUUUUUUUUUAACCAACUCACUUCAUUAACACAUUUAUUUUUGUGACUGCUGUUAGAGAUACAAGGGGGUUCCUGCAUAAAAUCACAUUGGCAGUUUGCAAAGGUUUUACACCUCACCCAAGGGGCUUUUCAGAUGCAAAUACUUCAAAAUUUCUAUGGGAAAACAUUACUGCAUAAGUCAGAGCUAGAUCACACUUAAAAGCAUUAGAAUGCCAACCCAGACAUACUUUAAAUGUUACAUUUAAAUAUUAGCCAGAAGAACACUAAAUAAAGUUACAAAAUACAGUAAUCCAAGGGUCUGAAAGCCCAUGGUAAAAAUAGGGAGCCCGUGUCUUCAUUAACGAUGAAUAAAUAUAACAUUUAAAUAGCUGAAACACACCAGAUAACCUCACGCCUUAAAUAAAAAAAUAAAAUAGAUGUUUAUAGAUCUCUCUGUUUUAGAAAUCAGUGCUGCUAGAAGCUUCUAAAUUACAAAGCUGGAGGCUGGCAAAUACACAGGACAGAAAAUGACAUGAAAAUACAAUGCUAUCUUACAGACACAGCCUCUACACCCUGGCUGAGGCCUAGCUCAGACUUUGUCAUUUUGGGCAAUGGCAGCAAGAGAAGUCACCAAUUGUAGGGCCGAGUAAAACAGCCAAGGGGAAGAAUAUGGGGUGGUCCACUAUAUCCCCUAAAAAGCAAGGUAUGAUAGUGCCAAUCAAAGAGAACCAGACUGCCAUACCCAUUUGCCUAGUAUGGGAUCAUUUAGGCUGCCAGCCUCAGAACAGCGUACCACAUACAAAAAUAAAGGGCAAUUCUCUAAAACAAUAUAUUUUUUCCUCAAGAACCCCUUGAUAUGAGGUUUAUAGAUGCAGUACACAGGCCACCACUGGGACAGAUUUAGGUAAUCCUUCCAUUACUCCUUAGGCUUUAUCACAUGCUCCCGAAACAUGGAAUACAGCACACCACACGUUAUUGCUCCCACAACGAAACCCUGCGCUGCCACACGCAUGUGAAUCAGGUGAAGCGACAUCUUUGUGUUCCCCCGGUGCUUCAGUUUGUACAGCCCAUAGCCCACCACCACGGCAAAGCCAGCCAUCCCAAUCGGUACAAACGGCGUCUCCUUGAAUUUCCGUAGCAGCUUCGAUGUCUGGCUGGUUUCAGUCUCAUACUCAGGGUACACAGGUUCGUGACCGGACGACAUGGUGCCGCACAGCGCGCACUGAAGCCGCCACUCCGCACUCGGCUCCCGACACCGGCCGG
This 1727-nucleotide long non-coding RNA is filed under the name Gallus gallus (chicken). The record is from RNAcentral. Lineage: Eukaryota; Metazoa; Chordata; Aves; Galliformes; Phasianidae.